UUCUACGGGGGGCAGCAGUGGGGAAUAUUGCACAAUGGGCGCAAGCUGAUGCAGCGACGCCGCGUGAGGGAUGACGGCCUUCGGGUUGUAAACCUCUUUCAGUAGGGAAGAAGCGAAAGUGACGGUACCUGCAGAAGAAGCACCGGCUAACUACGUGCCAGCAGCCGCGGUAAU
Molecule: ribosomal RNA, 174 nt
Filed under: uncultured Micrococcus sp.
Lineage: Bacteria; Bacillati; Actinomycetota; Actinomycetes; Micrococcales; Micrococcaceae
Description: partial 16S ribosomal RNA
Rfam family: Bacterial small subunit ribosomal RNA
Source: RNAcentral